CAGGAAAAAGAAUGGUAACAGAUAGAGAAAGAAUUUGUUCUUAUUCCUCCUGAGGGCCUGUCGGUGGACAUUGUGUGCAGCCCACCCUUUACCUGCUGGUGUAACCGCAUAUUGGCUGUGAGAGAGCAGAAAUGCAUCAACAGACAUCAGCUAUGACGACUGGAAUCGAGACGUCGGAAAUCCCAGACAUAGCUGCCCUGAUUUACGGGAAGACCAACUCAGGACUCUAGGCAGGUUCUCUGGAAAGACGUGCGCCGGCGAUGCAUGAAGGGCACGCAUUUCUACUCCUCCACUUUGGGGACACACAGCUGUGUAAAAACACAUGCUGAUCAGCCGGCGAGAGACAAACAAGGCUCCUGUCCCUCUGUCAAGUCUCUGACACACUCCAUCCAAGCUCAGGUCGCAGACGUGGUACUUCCCUCCGCCUGGAUUUCAACAAGCACGGAAAAACAUUCACAUUCAAUAUGUCACCAUCUGGCAAUGGUCGGGAUCGUGCUGUUUUGUCAGUCAUAAAAAUGCCGCAAUGUCUUAACAUAUUCGGGUCACUCUACAAAACAGGUGCCAUUUGUGUCUCUCAUAUACAUAUAGCAUAUGUAAAAAAUGGCUUUAGAACAAAUAGUGGAUGUCAACUUUUACUAUAUGUUAGACAUUAUUUUAACAUCAUAAAUAAUGUAUAAAUGUUUUUUUUUUUUCAUAACUUCUGGCCUUCAGUGUUUUCAGCUUGCUGCAAUGCAUACUCAUAGUACAUGUGUAAAAUAUGCACAUUUUGACUGAAAUAGAAAUAUAUGCAAAUAAAACUAAAUUUCUAUAUAGUAGGCUAUAUUAACAUAUAGACUGCUGUUCAAAGUACAUUUCUUUAAGAAAUGCAUACUUUUAUUCAUCAACGAUGCAUUAAAUUGAUCAAAAGUGACAGUGAAAACUUUUAUAACGUCACUAAAGAUUUCUAUUUAAAAUAAAUACAGUUCUUUUGAAUUUUCUGCUGAAAAUUCAGCUUUGCGUCACAGAAAUAAAUGACAUUUUAAAAUAUAAUAAAAUAUAAAACAGUUGUUUCGGUAACACUUUACAAUAAGGCUACAUUAAUAAUCAUGUACUAAUGCCUAAAUUAAUACUUAUUUCAUCACAUACUAAUGAUUAUUAAAGGCGUUAACUAAUUAUGAACUAACGAAGAGCCAUCCUUAAUUACGACUGGAGUCAUACGGAUUCAUGCAUGAAUAACGGCAGCCUUAACUACAUGUUAGUACAUAUUUGAUAGUUAAUGUAUUAAUUAACAUUUAUGGGUAAACUAAAUCAAACAGCCUCUUUAAGAAGGAAUAAGAAAUACUUUGAAGUUAAUUUGAUGAUCCUGCACUACCGCUCUCUGACUUCUUGAAAAUCCACACAGCAUCUCUUAACCGGGCUGAAUACUCACUGUGUUAGUACAUGUGUGUUUGAUAGAAAGUAUAACAUAAAUCAUGAGCUGAGUUUAGUAAGUAGUUAACAGUGAAUUCAUUAUCAUUGGGCCCCCUCAAGUAAAGUCAUGUCAAAAUCAGCUUUAACAAGCCAUUAGUUGAUGUUAGUGUAUGGGUAGUUAAUAAUGAGUUGACACAAUGACACAUUAACAAAUCAUCAAAUUAAAUACCAUUAAACAUGCUGUAAGAGUGUCC
Onychostoma macrolepis is the source of this 1643-nucleotide long non-coding RNA. RefSeq lists it as uncharacterized. Lineage: Eukaryota; Metazoa; Chordata; Actinopteri; Cypriniformes; Cyprinidae. The record is from RefSeq and is a predicted model, not a curated record. The transcript has 3 exons.